This 323-nucleotide ribosomal RNA is filed under the name uncultured bacterium. RNAcentral's name for it is "bacterial SSU rRNA". It matches the Rfam family "Bacterial small subunit ribosomal RNA", at positions 28 to 334 of the family's 1533-position model. The record is from RNAcentral.
GACGAACGCGUGGCGGCGUGCCUAAUACAUGCAAGUCGAACGAACCGCGACUGAGUGCUUGCACUUGGUCAAGGUGAGUGGCGAACGGGUGAGUAACACGUGGGUAACCUACCUCAUAGUGGGGGAUAACAGUCGGAAACGACUGCUAAUACCGCAUAGGACAUAGGAUCACAUGAUCCAGUGAGGAAAGGUGGCGCAAGCUAUCGCUAAGAGAUGGACCCGCGGUGCAUUAGCUAGUUGGUAGGGUAACGGCCUACCAAGGCGAUGAUGCAUAGCCGACCUGAGAGGGUGAUCGGCCACAUUGGGACUGAGACACGGCCCAA